Molecule: ribosomal RNA, 492 nt
Filed under: uncultured bacterium
Lineage: Bacteria
Description: partial 16S ribosomal RNA
Rfam family: Bacterial small subunit ribosomal RNA
Source: RNAcentral
AGUGAACGCUGGCGGUAGGCCUAACACAUGCAAGUCGAACGGCAGCACAGUAAGAGCUUGCUCUUACGGGUGGCGAGUGGCGGACGGGUGAGGAAUACAUCGGAAUCUACUUUUUCGUGGGGGAUAACGUAGGGAAACUUACGCUAAUACCGCAUACGACCUACGGGUGAAAGCAGGGGAUCUUCGGACCUUGCGCGAUUGAAUGAGCCGAUGUCGGAUUAGCUAGUUGGCGGGGUCAAGGCCCACCAAGGCGACGAUCCGUAGCUGGUCUGAGAGGAUGAUCUGCCACACUGGAACUGAGAUACGGUCCAAGCUCAUAGGGGAGCCAGCAGUGGGGAAUAUUGGCCAAUGGGCGAAAGCCUGAUCCAGCAAUACCGCGUAGGUGGAGAAGGCCUUCGGGUUGUGAAGCCCUUUUGUUGGGAAAGAACAGCAGCAGGUUAAAACCCCGCUGUUCUGACGGUACCCAAAGAAUAAGCACCGGCUAACUUCGUG